GGAUAACCUACCCAAGAGUCCGGGAUAACCCCGGGAAACUGGGGAUAAUACCGGAUGGGCCACCUAUGCUGGAAGGCGGGGUGGUUGAAACCUCCGGGGCUUUUGGAUGGGUCUGCGGCUGAUUAGGUUGUUGCCGGUGUAACGUACCGUCAAGCCUGUAAUCAGUACGGGUUGUGGGAGCAAGAGCCCGGAGAUGGAUUCUGAGACACGAAUCCAGGCCCUACGGGGCGCAGCAGGCGCGAAAACUCUACAAUGCAGGCAACUGCGAUAGGGGAACAUCGAGUGGCGUCCAUAUUGGAUGUCUGUCCACCCGCCUAAAAAGCGGGUGUUAGCAAGGGCCGGGCAAGACCGGUGCCAGCCGCCGCGGUAAUACCGGCGGCUCGAGUGGUGGCCGAUAUUAUUGAGUCUAAAGGUCCGUAGCCGGCUUUGCAAGUCUCUCGGGAAAUCCAGCGGCUUAACCGUUGGUCGUCCGGGGGGUACUACAUUGCUUGGGACUGGGAGAGGUAGGAGGUACUCAGGGGGUAGGAGUGAAAUCCUGUAAUCCUUUGGGGACCACCGGUGGCGAAGGCGUCCUACCAGAACAGGUCCGACGGUGAGGGACGAAAGCUAGGGGCACGAACCGGAUUAGAUACCCGGGUAGUCCUAGCCGUAAACGAUGCUCGCUAGGUGUCACAACAGUCGUGAACUGUUGUGGUGCCGUAGGGAAGCCGUGAAGCGAGCCACUUGGGAAGUACGACCGCAAGGUUGAAACU
Molecule: ribosomal RNA, 752 nt
Filed under: uncultured archaeon
Lineage: Archaea
Description: bacterial SSU rRNA
Rfam family: Archaeal small subunit ribosomal RNA
Source: RNAcentral